Molecule: ribosomal RNA, 468 nt
Filed under: uncultured bacterium
Lineage: Bacteria
Description: partial 16S ribosomal RNA
Rfam family: Bacterial small subunit ribosomal RNA
Source: RNAcentral
GACGAACGCUGGCGGCGUGCUUAACACAUGCAAGUCGAACGGAAAGGCCCUGCUUUUGCGGGGUGCUCGAGUGGCGAACGGGUGAGUAACACGUGAGUAACCUGCCCUUGACUUUGGGAUAACUUCAGGAAACUGGGGCUAAUACCGGAUAGGAGCUCCUGCUGCAUGGUGGGGGUUGGAAAGUUUCGGCGGUGUGGGAUGGACUCGCGGCUUAUCAGCUUGUUGGUGGGGUAGUGGCUUACCAAGGCUUUGACGGGUAGCCGGCCUGAGAGGGUGACCGGCCACAUUGGGACUGAGAUAGGGCCCAGACUCCUACGGGAGGCAGCAGUGGGGAAUAUUGCACAAUGGGCGGAAGCCUGAUGCAGAAACGCCGCGUGCGGGAUGACGGCCUUCGGGUUGUAAACCGCUUUCGCCUGUGACGAAGCGUGAGUGACGGUAAUGGGUAAAGAAGCACCGGCUAACUACGUG